This 495-nucleotide ribosomal RNA is filed under the name uncultured bacterium. RNAcentral's name for it is "partial 16S ribosomal RNA". It matches the Rfam family "Bacterial small subunit ribosomal RNA", at positions 28 to 505 of the family's 1533-position model. The record is from RNAcentral.
GAUGAACGCUGGCGGCGUGCCUAAUACAUGCAAGUCGAGCGAACAGACGAGGAGCUUGCUCCUCUGACGUUAGCGGCGGACGGGUGAGUAACACGUGGAUAACCUACCUAUAAGACUGGGAUAACUUCGGGAAACCGGAGCUAAUACCGGAUAAUAUAUUGAACCGCAUGGUUCAAUAGUGAAAGACGGUUUUGCUGUCACUUAUAGAUGGAUCCGCGCCGCAUUAGCUAGUUGGUAAGGUAACGGCUUACCAAGGCAACGAUGCGUAGCCGACCUGAGAGGGUGAUCGGCCACACUGGAACUGAGACACGGUCCAGACUCCUACGGGAGGCAGCAGUAGGGAAUCGUCCGAAAUGGGCGAAAGCCUGACGGAGCAACGCCGCGUGAGUGAUGAAGGUCUUCGGAUCGUAAAACUCUGUUAUUAGGGAAGAACAAAUGUGUAAGUAACUAUGCACGUCUUGACGGUACCUAAUCAGAAAGCCACGGCUAACUACG